UCCUACGGGGGGCAGCAGUGGGGAAUAUUGGACAAUGGGCGCAGGCCUGAUCCAGCCAUGCCGCGUGUGUGAUGAAGGCCCUAGGGUUGUAAAGCACUUUCAACGGUGAAGAUAAUGACGGUAACCGUAGAAGAAGCUCCGGCUAACUUCGUGCCAGCAGCCGCGGUAAUACGAAGGGAGCUAGCGUUGUUCGGAAUUACUGGGCGUAAAGCGCGCGUAGGCGGGCUAUUAAGUUAGGGGUGAAAUCCCGGGGCUCAACCCCGGAACUGCCCUUGAUACUGGUAGUCUAGAGUUCGAGAGAGGUGAGUGGAAUUCCGAGUGUAGAGGUGAAAUUCGUAGAUAUUCGGAGGAACACCAGUGGCGAAGGCGGCUCACUGGCUCGAUACUGACGCUGAGGUGCGAAAGUGUGGGGAGCAAACAGGAUUAGAUACCCUGGUAGUCCACACCGUAAACGAUGGAUGCUAGCCGUUGGACAGUUUACUGUUCAGUGGCGCAGCUAACGCAUUAAGCAUCCCGCCUGGGGAGUACGGUCGCAGGAUUAAAACUCAAAGGAAUUGACGG
This 561-nucleotide ribosomal RNA is filed under the name uncultured Alphaproteobacteria bacterium. RNAcentral describes it as "bacterial SSU rRNA". It matches the Rfam family "Bacterial small subunit ribosomal RNA", at positions 337 to 916 of the family's 1533-position model. Lineage: Bacteria; Pseudomonadati; Pseudomonadota; Alphaproteobacteria. The record is from RNAcentral.